GUGUCUCAAAUAUUUGGUAAUAUCGAUGAAACAGUGCAGCCAAUGCAAAGCUAUGUCAAAUUUCAUGAACUCCCUAAGUAGUUGGAUAUUAUGACAUUGUUAUGAAACUGCAAAUUCCAUGUUGUCUUAAGCUGUUUUCCUUUAUUACAAUUUAUCAUAUCUUAGAUCAGGAAUCUUAUGUUUAUUUACUUUUGAUAAAUUGCUACUUUCAUUAGGUAUGUUUCUGAGAAGGGCUAGACUUUUAAUGUCAAUGCAUACCUUGAGAACCGUCCUGUGCCUGUUUUGCCUGCUAUAUAAUUGUUUUGAAUUUAGACUAAAGUUGUAGGGAUUAUUUUUUUUUAGCUUUAUUUGAUCUGGAU
RNAcentral lists this long non-coding RNA (359 nucleotides) under Musa acuminata (dwarf banana). RNAcentral's name for it is "long non-coding RNA (MACU_LNC005921)". The record is from RNAcentral. Lineage: Eukaryota; Viridiplantae; Streptophyta; Magnoliopsida; Zingiberales; Musaceae.